CAGUCGCCGCGGUAAUACGUAGGGUGCAAGCGUUAAUCGGAAUUACUGGGCGUAAAGCGUGCGCAGGCGAUUUGUUAAGACAGAUGUGAAAUCCCCGGGCUCAACCUGGGAACUGCAUUUGUGACUGGCAAGCUAGAGUGUGGCAGAGGGGGGUGGAAUUCCGCGUGUAGCAGUGAAAUGCGUAGAUAUGCGGAGGAACACCGAUGGCGAAGGCAGCCCCCUGGGCCAACACUGACGCUCAUGCACGAAAGCGUGGGGAGCAAACAGGAUUAGAUACCCGCGUAGUCCCUGUCUCUUAUAC
This 301-nucleotide ribosomal RNA is filed under the name uncultured bacterium. Its description in RNAcentral is "partial 16S ribosomal RNA". It matches the Rfam family "Bacterial small subunit ribosomal RNA", at positions 509 to 807 of the family's 1533-position model. The record is from RNAcentral.